RNAcentral lists this ribosomal RNA (253 nucleotides) under uncultured bacterium. RNAcentral describes it as "partial 16S ribosomal RNA". It matches the Rfam family "Bacterial small subunit ribosomal RNA", at positions 524 to 776 of the family's 1533-position model. The record is from RNAcentral.
UACGGGGGGGGCAAGCGUUGUUCGGAAUUACUGGGCGUAAAAGGCUCGUAGGUGGCCAACUAAGUCAGACGUGAAAUCCCUCGGCUUAACCGGGGAACUGCGUCUGAUACUGGAUGGCUUGAGUUUGGGAGAGGGACGCGGAAUUCCAGGUGUAGCGGUGAAAUGCGUAGAUAUCUGGAGGAACACCGGUGGCGAAGGCGGCGUCCUGGACCAACACUGACACUGAGGAGCGAAAGCCAGGGGAGCAAACGGG